Molossus molossus (Pallas's mastiff bat) is the source of this 187-nucleotide long non-coding RNA. RefSeq lists it as uncharacterized. The record is from RefSeq and is a predicted model, not a curated record. NCBI's taxonomy places the organism in Eukaryota, Metazoa, Chordata, Mammalia, Chiroptera, Molossidae. The transcript has 2 exons.
GGGUUCUAGGCCACACACCAGCAAGCAGCAGUGCCUGGACUUGCGUCCACCUCUCUGUGUCUGGCCUUAGUCUCCACCCCCAAGCCCCGGACACUCCACGGCUGCCAGAAUGUGUCCACCCAUUGGAAUCACUUGAAGAGAAUCAAAAGAAGAGGAGGAGGAGGAAAAGAGAAGAGAAAAAAAAAAA